GUGGUUUUUGUUCCACAGGCUGCAGGAUUGUAGUUCUUCUUGCUUCUGCUGUCUGCCCUCUGGUGGAUGAGGCUAUCUAAGAGGCUUGUGCAAGUUUCCUGAUGGGAGGGACUGGUGGUGGGUAGAGCUGACUGUUGCUCUGGUAGGCAGAGCUCAGUAAAACUUUAAUCCCAUUGACUGCUGAUGGGUGGGGCUGGGUUCCCUCCCUGUUGGUUGUUUGGCCAGGCUCUUUGGUGGGGCUAAUGGCAGACUCUGGGAGGGCUCACGCCAAGGAGUACUUCCCAGAACUUCUGCUGCCAGUGUCCUUGUCCUCACAGUGAGACAGAGCCACCCCCCACCCCUGCAGGAGACCCUCCAACACUAGCAGAAGACACUUGGGCACAGGAAUUAAAUUGUGUAUUUCAAUAAUUCAGAACUCUGCAUUUGACUGGCUGAAUAUCUCAAUUCACCACAAGAUGGCAGCACGAAGUUAAUUUUUAAAACUGGAAAGAAAGGAAGAAAGAAAUAUGGAAGGAACAGAGGUAAAAAGAAAAGAAAGUGGGGUGCAGGAGGGAGAGGUGGCAAUGAAAAAGCAAAGUAAAAGAACGGAGAAAAAACAUUUCACAAACAUUCAGCUAGAUUACAUUUAACGAAAGAAAAGAACCAAGCCACCGAUGUAGGAAAUUUCCGAGAGAGGAAACCAGUGUUAUAACCACAUUUACUCACAGCCUCGAUGUGUGAGUAUAAGAUAGACAUUUGACCUUCUUAUAAAAGCAGUUGUGUCUCUGGGAAACUAUGAGAAUGAAUUUACAUUUACAAAGUGUUCUGGUCCAGUUAAGUCAGUCUUACGUUAGCAUAAAGAUCAGCUUGGAUUCAAGACUUAUUUUAUCUAGUACCCUUCAUAGAGGUCUUACACGUUGGUUUCCAUGUUUAAUUGUGUGGGGAAAUAGGAUACAUUAUUCAAGAAGAGAAUAAUUAGACACACACUGGCAGCAAUGCCUUGAUAUGUUGGAAAUAGAAAGGGUGCCACCAGUUCAGUGGUCCUGGAAGCCCCUGAGCUGAGCAGAAUUCUUUCAGCAUUGGCUCUUUGAUUCUCCAUGGACCAUCCACCACUUACUUGACCUACUGUCAUUGAUCUCUUCUGGCUACUUGCUCUGUCCCCUGUCUCAUGAAUUUGGGAUAGCAGAAAGUUCAAGAAAGGGAGAGAUCUUAAGAAUGGUGAUUGCUUCAUCUUGAGAUUGAGUUUUUUUAACCUUGGCACUAAUGACAUUUGGGGCCAGACAAUUCCUUUUCUCGUGGGGGGUGGUGAGGGGCUGUCCUUCCCAUGGUAGGAAAUUUAGCAGCAUCUUUGGCACAUACCACCAAAUGCCUGGAACACCUCCACCCCAAGCUGUGACAUCCAAAUUGUCUCCAGACGUUGCCAAGGGUCUCCUAGGGAACAAACUUAUCUCCACCUCCCCAUUUGAGUACCACUGCUUUAGAUAAACUCUAACUAACUGAAGAAAAUCCUGAAAGUUUUGUUUAUCUUGCUGUCCUGUUCAUGGGCAAAACUCAUAUUGAGUCCACAGAGAAACGUGUGUUUUUCAAAUGUGUUUUCCAAGUAUGAAAUUGGACAUAAAUGCCUUUGUUAGAGUCAGAGGAAUGUUCUCUAUAUGAAACAAAUCAACAAAUAUUUAUUAUGAAUGUUUUGUUGAGCAAAGACUUAUGCCAGGCACUGUAGGGCAUACAAAACAGUAAAAGAAUUUUUAUAGAAAUGAAAACAAUUAAUGCUGGUCGAACCCUUACUAUGUGCCAGACACGUUUUCUGUCCAUUGUGAAUAUGCGUCUUCUAUUCAUCUCCUUUCGACUUUGCAAGCUCUCUAUGAAGAAAUAUUAUUUGCAUUUUAUAGGUGAAGAAACUGAGGUUGAGAAAAGUUCAGUCACUAGCUCAAUGCCACAUUCAUGGUAGGUGACAAAGGCCAGUCUUCCUAACACCAAGGACUGUGUAUGCUCUAGUCCCAAACACUAACCCUUGAGGAGAUUACAGUCUGGUUAGGGGAACAAUGCAUGUACACAGGAAAGGUGUCUAAUGUCAUAACAUCUAAUGUCAUAUCUAUUCCAAAAAAAUUACAGGACACGUUGCUAUAGACUAGAGUGAUCUGAGAAAUAGAGUGUGAUCGGUCUUGAUCUGUGUGUCCUUAAAGAAUAGAAGAUUAGAGAGGUAGAUUAGAAAGAUGGGCAAGUGUAGGUUCCAUUCUAUAAAAGGGCAAUCUUCUGAGAAGCGGUAAAACUGUGGAAGGGUGUUGAGAGCAUAGGGUACAGAUGGCUAAAUGGAAUGGAAGAUCUGUGCUGAGAAGGAGAGGUAAUACAGGUUGGAAAGGGUGGCUGGCAACAAAUGACACAGGGACUUGAAUAUAAUCCAGAAAUAAUAAACUGGCAGGCCAAAAUAAUAACUUUGGUUCAGUUCAGAGUUCUGAAAAUUGAGAAAUUUGGGAAAAGCUGGAUUUCUAACAUUCUUGAAUGUGGUGACUUUGAGUCUACAUUCCUGUAUCUCAACCCUUUGCUGAAGCCAAGGAGGGGUCACUGUCUUUAAUGGGCUCUGGGCUCUCCAGUUCAGCAAAACCCACACCACACCCUAAUCUAUUACCUCCUCUUGCUUCACUUAAUUAUCUGCUUAGCCCCUCUCAGCAGUGGAAUUUGCACCUAAAUUUAGAAAAGGGUGUUCUCAAAAUUUAAUCUGAUAAAACCAAUGAAAAUUGACUUUUUCUUCUAACAGUCCACUAGAAAUGGGAGACAAGAGCUAAUCCUCCAUUCGACGUCUUUCCAUAUAUCCAAGGACUAUUAUUAAAGUGUCCUUUCCUUCCUGUCUUCCCCACUGUGAUCACCCCUAGUUGUGUAGCUUUCUCCAGGAGCCGUGCACUAUAAACCUUCCACCGUUGCUGCUGUUCAGUGCUGGAGUUGAUGUGGACUUCCACAUCUUUGUAAACUGUGAGCACCAACCUGUGUACCCCAGCACUGCUGUCACCUCUUCUACUUGUGCCUAGUCUGUGACACCUCAACCCAGCAACUGAUAUUUCCACUAUGUUCCAGGCACUGUGUUAAUGAAUGUCGACUAUCACUAACAGACACAGAGCAGGAGGAUUUACAUUCUAGUGGCAGAGAUAGACAGUAAGCAAUGAACAGAAAACAUAAGUAAAUUAUAUGUGUUUGAAAACGAUAUCUGCUAAGGAAAAAAAACCAAUAGAGUGGAGUUAGGGGGCUGGCAAUGGGGAUUGCAAUUUUCAGUAGAGUGUUCAGCGUAGGCCGCUUUGAGAAGGUGGCAUUUAAACAAAGACUUGAAAGAGGUUGCUGUGGGAAAUGACCUUAAUGCCGUAGGAACAUCCAAGUAGCAGUCAAGCUCUUCUGUUAUGGAACAGAAAGGCUCACAGGCCAAAUUAAGAUACUCAAAUCAUGCAGAUUAUUGAAUCAACGUAACACAUGGAGAGUAGCAAGAGGAAAGAGAUGGUAUAGGUUAACAUACUUAGGAUGUUGUAUAAGCAGGUAGAAGGCUCACGCUAGAUGAAUCCUGAGUUGUGCAACGUUAAUAUAUUCUCUCUCUCUCUCUCUCUCUCACAUACACACAUACACACACACAAACACCAGCCUUCUCACUGAUAGUAAAGUUAUAGGACCAGACUUGAACCUAACCCAGAAGCUCAGCAGAGAGAAGAUGCCUGGGGACCAACACACGCUUGCUCUAUCAGAGAGACUCAAGGCCAAGCACUCUUGGUCUAAAGCUGUAGCUCAUAUAAUAAGCCUGUUGAACAGCCACAAGCUUUUCCUGGUUUUCUUGGGCGGAAAACACGUGGAGUCAGAGU
Long non-coding RNA from Orcinus orca (killer whale), 3815 nucleotides. RefSeq lists it as uncharacterized. The transcript is spliced from 4 exons. Lineage: Eukaryota; Metazoa; Chordata; Mammalia; Artiodactyla; Delphinidae. The record is from RefSeq and is a predicted model, not a curated record.